This 552-nucleotide ribosomal RNA is filed under the name uncultured bacterium. RNAcentral's name for it is "partial 16S ribosomal RNA". It matches the Rfam family "Bacterial small subunit ribosomal RNA", at positions 355 to 900 of the family's 1533-position model. The record is from RNAcentral.
UAGGGAAUCUUCCACAAUGGACGCAAGUCUGAUGGAGCAACGCCGCGUGAGUGAAGAAGGUUUUCGGACCGUAAAGCUCUGUUGUUGGUGAAGAAGGAUAGAGGUAGUAACUGGCCUUUAUUUGACGGUAAUCAACCAGAAAGUCACGGCUAACUACGUGCCAGCAGCCGCGGUAAUACGUAGGUGGCAAGCGUUGUCCGGAUUUAUUGGGCGUAAAGCGAGCGCAGGCGGAAGAAUAAGUCUGAUGUGAAAGCCCUCGGCUUAACCGAGGAAUUGCAUCGGAAACUGUUUUCUUGAGUGCAGAAGAGGAGAGUAGAACUCCAUGUGUAGCGGUGGAAUGCGUAGAUAUAUGGAAGAAUACCAGUGGCGAAGGCGGCUCUCUGGUCUGCAACUGACGCUGAGGCUCGAAAGCAUGGGUAGCGAACAGGAUUAGAUACCCUGGUAGUCCAUGCCGUAAACGAUGAGUGCUAAGUGUUGGGAGGCUUCCGCCUCUCAGUGCUGCAGCUAACGCAUUAAGCACUCCGCCUGGGGGAGUACGACCGCAGUUGAAAC